Molecule: non-coding RNA, 76 nt
Organism: Mandrillus leucophaeus (drill)
Lineage: Eukaryota; Metazoa; Chordata; Mammalia; Primates; Cercopithecidae
Source: the annotation of a RefSeq genome assembly
GGUCGGUUAGCUCAGUUGGUAAGAGCGUGGUGCUGAUACAACGCCAAGGUCGCGGGUUCGAUUCCCGCACCGGCCA